RNAcentral lists this ribosomal RNA (389 nucleotides) under Dianous vietnamensis. RNAcentral's name for it is "partial 16S ribosomal RNA". The stretch from base 1 to 115 matches the Rfam family "Archaeal large subunit ribosomal RNA", at positions 1952 to 2101 of the family's 2987-position model. Lineage: Eukaryota; Metazoa; Arthropoda; Insecta; Coleoptera; Staphylinidae. The record is from RNAcentral.
UGCCCAAUGAAGUUUUAAAUGGCUGCAGUAUUAUGACUGUACAAAGGUAGCAUAAUCAUUAGUUUCUUAAUUAGAAGCUGGAAUGAAUGGAUUAACGAGAAAUUAACUGUCUCUAUUUAAAUAAUAGAAUUUUAUUUUUAAGUAAAAAAGCUUAAAUUUUAUUAAAAGACGAGAAGACCCUAUAGAGUUUUAUAUUUAUUUUAUUUUUUUAAAAAUUAAUAAAAUAAAUAUUUUAUUGGGGUGAUAGAAAAAUUUAAUUAACUUUUUCAGUAUUAAAACAAUUAUUUUUGAAUUAUUGAUCCAUUUUUAUGAUUAAAAGAUUAAAUUACCUUAGGGAUAACAGCGUAAUAUUUUUUUAGAGUUCAUAUUAAAAAAAAUGAUUGCGACCU